Molecule: ribosomal RNA, 1017 nt
Filed under: Megascolecidae sp. YN201764-02
Lineage: Eukaryota; Metazoa; Annelida; Clitellata; Crassiclitellata; Megascolecidae
Description: partial small subunit ribosomal RNA
Rfam family: Bacterial small subunit ribosomal RNA (bases 1-317)
Source: RNAcentral
CUCGACACCCAGCAUGUAUACUGCCGUUGUAAGCAUACCCCUAAAGGAAAGUGUGCAAUUAUGACUAUUAAUUAACUCAUGUACAUCAGGUCAAAGUGCAGCUAAUAAGAAGGCGAUGAUGGGUUACAACCCCAAGAUAGAUAUCAAUUAAGAAAUAAAAAAUCUUGUAAAAGUGGACUUGGCCGUAAUCAACUUACAAGUAAAAGAGAUGAAUAAACAUCUAAGACAUGUACACAUCGCCCGUCACUCUAUCCUAAAGGUUAGACAAGUCGUAACAAAGUAGGCGUAAUGGAAAUUGCGCCUGUCGAAAUAUAGCAUAUAAAAUGCUCUUUACUUACACUAAAUACAAAGUUAAACAACUUAUUUCGCCCGCAAAACAAAACCCUAUAAAUCACAUACUAAUAAAAACAACUAAAUAACAUAUAACCCCUAAAUAAGUACAGAAAUGGAAACAAUAACACAUAAAAGUAAAUUUUAAUAAUUGUACCUUGUGCAUUAUGGUUUUACAAGAAAAUAAUUAAAUAUAACAAUCCCGAAUUCUUCAUGAGAUGUUAAACUGCUGUUAAGAACCCACUAAUAACUGUAUAAAAAGUUUUAAAAGACAGUUUAACAGAGGCUACAUACCAUCCGCAUAAGAAUAUAGCUGGUUUUUAACAAACAUUAUACAUUAAAACAUAUAAUUAUAUUAUAGUGUAAUACUAUUGAGGACAAGCCCAAUAGUUUAAAGCAAUUUCAAUAACAAGUCCACAAUACUUCAUAGGCCUAAAAUCAACCACUAAAAAUACUUUACCGUAGUAAACAAAGACAAAAUAUAUUAAUAAAUUAUGCAAAAUAAAGUUAAAAAAGUGGGUCAAUUUUCUAACCCCCUAUUAAUAUGUAAAAAUAAGUAUUAAGUAAUAUUAUCUCAACUACUAACAACUAAUACAUAAAAAUAAUAUAAUAACUAAUUAAGGAACUCGGCAAACCCUUAUUUCGACUGUUUAACAAAAACAUUGUCUCAUGAAAACAAAUAUGAGA